GAACCUUCGGGGAACGAUAACGGCGUCGAGCGGCGGACGGGUGAGUAAUGCCUAGGAAAUUGCCCUGAUGUGGGGGAUAACCAUUGGAAACGAUGGCUAAUACCGCAUGAUGCCUACGGGCCAAAGAGGGGGACCUUCGGGCCUCUCGCGUCAGGAUAUGCCUAGGUGGGAUUAGCUAGUUGGUGAGGUAAGGGCUCACCAAGGCGACGAUCCCUAGCUGGUCUGAGAGGAUGAUCAGCCACACUGGAACUGAGACACGGUCCAGACUCCUACGGGAGGCAGCAGUGGGGAAUAUUGCACAAUGGGCGCAAGCCUGAUGCAGCCAUGCCGCGUGUGUGAAGAAGGCCUUCGGGUUGUAAAGCACUUUCAGUCGUGAGGAAGGUGGUGUAGUUAAUAGCUGCAUCAUUUGACGUUAGCGACAGAAGAAGCACCGGCUAACUCCGUGCCAGCAGCCGCGGUAAUACGGAGGGUGCGAGCGUUAAUCGGAAUUACUGGGCGUAAAGCGCAUGCAGGUGGUUUGUUAAGUCAGAUGUGAAAGCCCGGGGCUCAACCUCGGAAUAGCAUUUGAAACUGGCAGACUAGAGUACUGUAGAGGGGGGUAGAAUUUCAGGUGUAGCGGUGAAAUGCGUAGAGAUCUGAAGGAAUACCGGUGGCGAAGGCGGCCCCCUGGACAGAUACUGACACUCAGAUGCGAAAGCGUGGGGAGCAAACAGGAUUAGAUACCCUGGUAGUCCACGCCGUAAACGAUGUCUACUUGGAGGUUGUGGCCUUGAGCCGUGGCUUUCGGAGCUAACGCGUUAAGUAGACCGCCUGGGGAGUACGGUCGCAAGAUUAAAACUCAAAUGAAUUGACGGGGGCCCGCACAAGCGGUGGAGCAUGUGGUUUAAUUCGAUGCAACGCGAAGAACCUUACCUACUCUUGACAUCCAGAGAACUUUCCAGAGAUGGAUUGGUGCCUUCGGGAACUCUGAGACAGGUGCUGCAUGGCUGUCGUCAGCUCGUGUUGUGAAAUGUUGGGUUAAGUCCCGCAACGAGCGCAACCCUUAUCCUUGUUUGCCAGCGAGUAAUGUCGGGAACUCCAGGGAGACUGCCGGUGAUAAACCGGAGGAAGGUGGGGACGACGUCAAGUCAUCAUGGCCCUUACGAGUAGGGCUACACACGUGCUACAAUGGCGCAUACAGAGGGCGGCCAACUUGCGAAAGUGAGCGAAUCCCAAAAAGUGCGUCGUAGUCCGGAUUGGAGUCUGCAACUCGACUCCAUGAAGUCGGAAUCGCUAGUAAUCGUGGAUCAGAAUGCCACGGUGAAUACGUUCCCGGGCCUUGUACACACCGCCCGUCACACCAUGGGAGUGGGCUGCAAAAGAAG
Molecule: ribosomal RNA, 1364 nt
Filed under: Vibrio sp.
Lineage: Bacteria; Pseudomonadati; Pseudomonadota; Gammaproteobacteria; Vibrionales; Vibrionaceae
Description: bacterial SSU rRNA
Rfam family: Bacterial small subunit ribosomal RNA
Source: RNAcentral